CGCCCGCUCAGAAACUUAAAGGAAUUGACGGGGACCCGCACAAGCGGUGGAGCAUGUGGUUUAAUUCGAUGCAACGCGAAGAACCUUACCUGGUCUUGACAUCCUAGGAAUCCUGCAGAGAUGCGGGAGUGCCUUCGGGAACCUGGAGACAGGUGCUGCAUGGCUGUCGUCAGCUCGUGUCGUGAGAUGUUCGGUUAAGUCCGCUAACGAGCGCAACCCUCGCUGUAUGUUACAUGUGUCAUACAGGACCGCCGGUAUCAAGCCGGAGGAAGGUGGGGAUGACGUCAAGUCCGCAUGGCCUUUAUGUCCGGGGCUACACACACGCUACAAUGGUCGGUACAAUGGGUUGCUAAGCCGCGAGGUGGAGCCAAUCCCCCAAAGCCGGCCUCAGUUCAGAUUGCAGGCUGCAACUCGCCUGCAUGAAGCUGGAGUUGCUAGUAAACGCGCGUCAGCUAUAGUGCGUUGAAUACGUUCUCGGGCCUU
This 483-nucleotide ribosomal RNA is filed under the name uncultured Rhodocyclaceae bacterium. Its description in RNAcentral is "bacterial SSU rRNA". It matches the Rfam family "Bacterial small subunit ribosomal RNA", at positions 887 to 1382 of the family's 1533-position model. The record is from RNAcentral. Lineage: Bacteria; Pseudomonadati; Pseudomonadota; Betaproteobacteria; Rhodocyclales; Rhodocyclaceae.